Molecule: ribosomal RNA, 497 nt
Filed under: uncultured bacterium
Lineage: Bacteria
Description: partial 16S ribosomal RNA
Rfam family: Bacterial small subunit ribosomal RNA
Source: RNAcentral
GACGAACGCUGGCGGCGUGCCUAAUACAUGCAAGUUGAGCGCUGAAGGUUGGUACUUGUACCAACUGGAUGAGCCGCGAACGGGUGAGUCACGCGUGGGGCAUCUGCCUUUGAGCGGGGGACAACAUUUGGAAACGAAUGCUAAUACCGCAUAAAAACUUUAAACACAAGUUUUAAGUUUGAAAGAUGCAAUUGCAUCACUCAAAGAUGAUCCCGCGUUGUAUUAGCUAGUUGGUGAGGUAAAGGCUCACCAAGGCGAUGAUACAUAGCCGACCUGAGAGGGUGGUCGGCCACAUUGGGACUGAGACACGGCCCAAACGCCUACGGGAGGCAGCAGUAGGGAAUCGUCGGCAAUGGACGAAAGUCUGACCGAGCAACGCCGCGUGAGUGAAGAAGAUUUUCGGAUCGUAAAACUCUGUUGGUAGAGAAGAACGUUGGUGAGAGUGGAAAGCUCAUCAAGUGACGGUAACUACCCAGAAAGGGACGGCUAACUACGUG